GCAUCGGUGGUUCAGUGGUAAAAUGUUCGCCUGCCACGCGGGCGGCCCGAGUUCGAUUACCGGCCGUUGCA
Molecule: transfer RNA, 71 nt
Filed under: Cordylochernes scorpioides
Lineage: Eukaryota; Metazoa; Arthropoda; Arachnida; Pseudoscorpiones; Chernetidae
Description: tRNA-Gly
Rfam family: tRNA
About the family: Transfer RNA (tRNA) molecules are approximately 80 nucleotides in length. Their secondary structure includes four short double-helical elements and three loops (D, anti-codon, and T loops).
Source: RNAcentral